CCUACGGGUGGCAGCAGUGGGGAAUAUUGCACAAUGGGGGAAACCCUGAUGCAGCAACGCCGCGUGCGUGAAGAAGGAUUUCGGUAUGUAAAGCUCUAUCAGCAGGGAAGAAGAUGACGGUACGUGAGUAAGUAGCCACGGCUAACUACGUGCCAGCAGCCGCGGUAAUACGUAGGGGGCAAGCGUUCUCCGGAUUUACUGGGGGUAAAGGGAGCGCAGGCGGUGAGACAAGUCUGAAGUGAAAGCCCGGGGCUCAACCCCGGGACUGCUUUGGAAACUGGCUGACUGGAGUGCUGGAGAGGCAAGCGGAAUGCCUAGUGUAGCGGUGAAAUGCGUAGAUAUUAGGAAGAACACCAGUGGCGAAGGCGGCUUGCUGGACAGAAACUGACGUUGAGGCACGAAAGCGUGGGGAGCAAACAGGAUUAGAUACCCGUGUAGUC
RNAcentral lists this ribosomal RNA (440 nucleotides) under uncultured bacterium. Its description in RNAcentral is "partial 16S ribosomal RNA". It matches the Rfam family "Bacterial small subunit ribosomal RNA", at positions 338 to 795 of the family's 1533-position model. The record is from RNAcentral.